CUUCCCUGAGCCACAGGGCUUGGCAGCCCUAUGUCUCUCUCUGUUAUAAAUAUGUGAAGCUGUGGCUGGCCCUUCCUUUAUAUCAAAUGCAGGUGGAAUUGGUUGGAAGGCUCUAAAGCUGCUAAGAAGGCAUUCAGUAAGACUAUUGGCACAUCUCAAAUGUGACUCAGCCCAUGUAUGUCCCUACAAUUUGUCCUGUGGAGCAGCUUAGUUUGGAGAGAAGAGGGAAGGGAUGAAAAAAAUUCAGCAACACAUCCUGACAGAAGGCAGCCAGGGAGUGUGGCUUUAUUGGGGAAGAGCUAUGCUGGGAAGAGAGACAGUAGAUCUCCUGAGACAUCUAAGAGCAGAAAGCUGAUUUAUGUGCCAGUUGACUCUCUGUGGUUCCCUGAAAUGUAGGCUUGUUUUAAAAGUGAACUAUAUUGUAACUCAACCUGCUGAGGGAUAAAAUGGAGAACCAUGAGAAAACAUGUGGGUAUCUCUUGAUGGAAGUCCUUGCUUCCCAGAAGAGCAACAGUGACUCCCUCCAGGCGCAUCAGGACUUGAGCUUGGACACGUGCAAGAAGUUUUACUGCGUGUUGUACCCUUGUGUCUGCAGCAGUGAAGUAUGAGGUAGUGUCAAUAGGCUUUACUUCAGGACCUCUUUUUGUUUUGCAUUCU
Passer domesticus (house sparrow) is the source of this 657-nucleotide long non-coding RNA. RefSeq lists it as uncharacterized. The transcript has 5 exons. The record is from RefSeq and is a predicted model, not a curated record. Lineage: Eukaryota; Metazoa; Chordata; Aves; Passeriformes; Passeridae.